RNAcentral lists this ribosomal RNA (360 nucleotides) under Triticum aestivum (bread wheat). RNAcentral describes it as "partial small subunit ribosomal RNA". Lineage: Eukaryota; Viridiplantae; Streptophyta; Magnoliopsida; Poales; Poaceae. The record is from RNAcentral.
AUGGCAAAAUACUGGUGGAGCAAUAACCUUGAUCGCCGGUCUUUACAUUGGUUAUCUUGGGAUUCUUUGGCUGCACCAAAAGUUAAAGGAAGGAUGGGAUUCAAAGACUUACAACUCUUUAAUUUAGCACUACUCGGCAAGCAUGGGUGGUGCUUGAUGACGAAUCCCAACUCUCUGUGUUCGCGGGUCUUGAAAGGAAGAUAUUUCCACUCCUGUGAUUUCAUGCAAGCCACUGCACCAAAGUUUUCUUCAGCUGUGUGGAGGGCUAUAAUCGCAGGCAGGGAAGCGUUGAAAUCGGGCUUGCUUAAGCGCAUUGGAAGCGGCACGACCGUUUCUAUCUGGGAGGACAAAUGGAUCCCU